This 492-nucleotide ribosomal RNA is filed under the name uncultured bacterium. Its description in RNAcentral is "partial 16S ribosomal RNA". It matches the Rfam family "Bacterial small subunit ribosomal RNA", at positions 29 to 507 of the family's 1533-position model. The record is from RNAcentral.
AGUGAACGCUGGCGGUAGGCCUAACACAUGCAAGUCGAACGGCAGCACAGUAAGAGCUUGCUCUUACGGGUGGCGAGUGGCGGACGGGUGAGGAAUACAUCGGAAUCUACUUUUUCGUGGGGGAUAACGUAGGGAAACUUACGCUAAUACCGCAUACGACCUACGGGUGAAAGCAGGGGAUCUUCGGACCUUGCGCGAUUGAAUGAGCCGAUGUCGGAUUAGCUAGUUGGCGGGGUAAAGGCCCACCAAGGCGACGAUCCGUAGCUGGUCUGAGAGGAUGAUCAGCCACAUUGGAACUGAGACACGGUCCAGACUCCUACGGUAGGCAACAGUGGGGAAUAUUGGGCAAUGGAGGCAAGACUGAUCCAGCCAUACCGGGUGGGUGAAGAAGGCCUUCGGGUUGGAAAGCCCUUUUGUUGGGAAAGAAAAGCAGCAGGUUAAUACCCCGCUGUUCUGACGGUACCCAAAGAAUAAGCACCGGCUAACUUCGUG